GACAGAGGUCGCAAGCGUUGUUCGGAUUUACUGGGCGUAAAGGGCGUGUAGGCGGAUGUGCAAGUCGGGGGUGAAAGGCCAGGGGUCAACCCGGGACGGUCUCCCGAAACUGAGCAUCUCGAGAAAGUCAGAGGCAGGGGGAAUUCCAGGUGUAGAGGUGAAAUUCGUAGAGAUCUGGAGGAACACCGGCGGCGAAGGCGGCCUGCUGGGGCUUUUCUGACGCGGAGGCGCGAACGCGUGGGGAGCAAACAGG
Molecule: ribosomal RNA, 253 nt
Filed under: uncultured bacterium
Lineage: Bacteria
Description: partial 16S ribosomal RNA
Rfam family: Bacterial small subunit ribosomal RNA
Source: RNAcentral